UUAUUUCAUAUUACUUCCCUCCUUAGAUUAUGAAAGAAGCAUAUUUUAUAAUAGAAACAAAGAUUUUAUCUUUAAAUGAUUAAAUUGGCACUAAACUACUAUUUUACAUGGAUCGUAAGAAUACCUAAAUGUUUGAGUUGGAGGCUGUAAAAUUUGUCCAAUUUUUCCAUCCCAUGAUCUUUUAUCGGUUAGCUUCAUUCUCAAUCCAUAUGUUAUGAUUGUUGUGUUGGAUGCACUUGCAAGCAUAAGCACAUGGAAGUACAUAUAACUCCCACAUUCUAUAACUGCAUGUCAUUUUUUUCGUGUUUGAUUUAAAACAAAAUUGAAUAGUGCCUGAUACUUUCAUUGUUGGCCAGGUUGACUCUAAUACAACUAAUCCCUCACCCUCUAUUGAACAUCACUGAAUUAUGGCUAGUACAUUCAAUGGUAAUUUUUGGCCAACUCAGUCCCACCCAGAUUCUUUCAUUAAAAACCUUCUCUAUUUCCUUGGUAUUCCAGCAAGAUUUAUAUCUUUACCAUAAAUUCCAUGAAACACCUUUUGUUGGAGGAAUAAAUCCUUUAGUGAAAGCCAUCACCUAUAAUUCAGGAACUUUUAUGUUGUAUCAUGAAGAAUCAAUUAUUAAAUAUACAGAAGCAUUCUUGAAUCCAUUGUACUUAAUUAUUCUCUAGAGUCAUAUGUUUGUCUUCCAGAUCAACAAAUUCUCCUAGAGAAUUUCUUUAAACAUCUCUUUGCACACCCUUUAAUUAUGAGAUGUUGGUAGAGAAUAGAAUGAUACAUAUGACCUGUGGACCAUAACCACUUAUAUAGAUAACUUUUUCCUAUUAUCAUUAGGUAUUGUUACCCUUAAGUCUCUAAACAUCAAAGGCCCAAAUCCUAUUAGAUACAUUAAAACCCAAAUUAUCGAAAACCUUAGUAGACACUUUUAAUUGGGCUUAACUUUAUAUGACAGUUCACAACACAUAAUUCUUCACAUAUAAGCCCAACGUUGGAUUAAAGAUCUAACAUUCUCCCACUUGGCUAUAUGUGUAAGCUUAUAAUUAUGCUUUGCAAAAAUAAAUGUAUGAACUCAACCUUACUAUCAUUACCAAAAUGUAUCUAUAACCAAUCUGGUCCAUCAAUCAUACUAGUGUAGGAUCAAAGUGGCCUUUGUUACAGCUAUUGCAACCCAUGAAUGGUCACUAUGUAUGCCAAUAUAACUAAAUGACAUUGAUCAUGAUGUGGAUCUAUAACAUAGAAAUUUCAUGCAAUCUGAACUUAACAUGCGUAUUUUCAAUUGGUCUACUUUAAACCUUAGUAAAAUCAAACUAUACAAAAAUCAGAGUAUGAAUAAAUCAAAACUUUAUUUUGGCAGAAAUUAACCUUACAUAUCCAUAAGCUGAAAUGACUGAAAAAUAUCUAUAUCAUAGGAGCAUUUAAAAUCACAAACUCCCACUAAAACUGAAUAUGCUUUAAUGAUACAAUACUCAUAUGAGCAGUGUACUCAUGAAACAUUUUGGGUGGCACUCUCUUAAUAAGCUUUUAUUAAGUUUAUUUUGGUCUACUUUGGCACUCUCUUAACAAACUCCACAAUCAUGGAGUUUGUGCCAACAUGCUUCUUGUGAAAAUUUUAUUGUACUUGUAAGGGCAUAAAUCUAUUGUAGUAUAAAUUAAAGUGAUGAGUGUCAAUCUCUCGUUUAAGGUUAAUUUUUCAAGUUCGUGUAAAUUAGUUGGAUGUGAUUUCUAAGCAAUGUUGAGAUUUAAAUUAAAAGAUGUCAAGAAUAAAUUAAAGAUGAAACAAUUUAAAUGGAAGACUUGAGUCUCUGGAUUCAUACUCAACACUUCACCAUUGGUUUAAUUUUUCUUUUCAAUUCCAAUUAAUUUAUGAGGGGUUAUUUCCAGUUCUUAUAGUCCUUAUUUUGGUAAAUAUGACAUCAAGCACUCAUUGUGCCAGGAGGAAAUAAUCUUCUAUUAAAUAUAGUGUCAAGUACAUGUUGUGCCAGGUGAUAAUACUCAUAUUCUCGACAAUGUGGCAAGACUGUCCACUAAAUAAAUUGGUUUCAUUCUCUAUCAACACUGAGUCAAGAUGAACCACUAAUUCUAGAGGGGAGUUUCUCAUUAAUAAAUAUAGUGUAGAGUACUCAAUCAUGCCAAACAAUAAUGAUCUUGCACUAUGGAGCUAGUAUACCGUGUAAAAUCUAGACAAGAUUAUUAUGGUUUGUCAACAACAAAUCAAAAUAAUCCACAUAAAUCAGAGAAAGAGAGCUAAUAAGCUUACCAAAUUAAGCCCAUGUAUCAUGUUGAGGUUUCACCUUCAACUCAAGCUUGAAACUAAAUUAGCCACUCAUAUUGAACUAGGGGUAAAAUGAUAAUUUUAUAUCAAAAUACAUAGAAAAUAUAAGAUGAAGGAAGAAAUAUGUAAAAUGGAGCACAAAUUUGGAUUCAAAGCUGUCGAAUUAGGGGGGUUUUCCAUUUAUAGAUACAACGGGUAAGUCAUGACGAUCGGAUGAAAACAACUCAAACGCUCAAGAUUACGCUACGUGGCAAGCUCUAAUUGGAUGAAACACGUUACCAAGAUGUUGAUUUAGUAAAUUGCAUGUAACAUUCGCAUGUUUUUUGAUCCAAUAAUAUGCGCUACGUCAUUGGUCAAUGACACGUCAAUUAGGGCCGCCGAAAGCUAAAAUUAUGAUUUUACUGUCUGAUUUCUCGUUAAUCAUGAAUAGAUGAUGGAAAACAUAUAGGAUAAUACUCUAAUUUAGAGUGUGAUAGGAUGAUAAGUUCGUAACAAUGGGGAUGGUUAGAAAAG
Molecule: long non-coding RNA, 2783 nt
Filed under: Citrus x clementina
Lineage: Eukaryota; Viridiplantae; Streptophyta; Magnoliopsida; Sapindales; Rutaceae
Description: Citrus clementina (C. clementina) long non-coding RNA (CCLE_LNC005180)
Source: RNAcentral